RNAcentral lists this long non-coding RNA (218 nucleotides) under Elaeis guineensis (African oil palm). RNAcentral's name for it is "long non-coding RNA (EGUI_LNC070345)". The record is from RNAcentral. Lineage: Eukaryota; Viridiplantae; Streptophyta; Magnoliopsida; Arecales; Arecaceae.
GGCUCCCGUAGGAGCCCGGAUGAAACCCAGAAGGCGGUCGACCGUCGUAGAAACUUGGAUGGAGCCCGUCCGUCGUGGAGAUCUGCUGUUGGAAAAGUUUGGCCACUGACGAACUGACAUAGCUCUGGAAGAAAUUCGGAUUGGAGUCAAUCGAAUCCUAUCGAAAAAGAUCCGAAAGGGGUCCGAUGGAUGGUUGACCCUUGUAGGAGAUCGGCCGA